Molecule: ribosomal RNA, 862 nt
Filed under: uncultured bacterium
Lineage: Bacteria
Description: bacterial SSU rRNA
Rfam family: Bacterial small subunit ribosomal RNA
Source: RNAcentral
CAUGCAAGUCGAGGGGAAACGACAUCGAAAGCUUGCUUUUGAUGGGCGUCGACCGGCGCACGGGUGAGUAACGCGUAUCCAACCUGCCCACCACUUGGGGAUAACCUUGCGAAAGUAAGACUAAUACCCAAUGACGUCUCUAGAAGACAUCUGAAAGAGAUUAAAGAUUUAUCGGUGAUGGAUGGGGAUGCGUCUGAUUAGCUUGUUGGCGGGGUAACGGCCCACCAAGGCGACGAUCAGUAGGGGUUCUGAGAGGAAGGUCCCCCACAUUGGAACUGAGACACGGUCCAAACUCCUACGGGAGGCAGCAGUGAGGAAUAUUGGUCAAUGGGCGAGAGCCUGAACCAGCCAAGUAGCGUGCAGGAUGACGGCCCUAUGGGUUGUAAACUGCUUUUAUAAGGGAAUAAAGUGAGUCUCGUGAGACUUUUUGCAUGUACCUUAUGAAUAAGGACCGGCUAAUUCCGUGCCAGCAGCCGCGGUAAUACGGAAGGUCCGGGCGUUAUCCGGAUUUAUUGGGUUUAAAGGGAGCGUAGGCCGGAGAUUAAGCGUGUUGUGAAAUGUAGACGCUCAACGUCUGCACUGCAGCGCGAACUGGUUUCCUUGAGUACGCACAAAGUGGGCGGAAUUCGUGGUGUAGCGGUGAAUGCUUAGAUAUCACGAAGAACUCCGAUUGCGAAGGCAGCUCACUGGAGCGCAACUGACGCUGAAGCUCGAAAGUGCGGGUAUCGAACAGGAUUAGAUACCCUGGUAGUCCGCACGGUAAACGAUGGAUGCCCGCUGUUGGUCUGAAUAGGUCAGCGGCCAAGCGAAAGCAUUAAGCAUCCCACCUGGGGAGUACGCCGGCAACGGUGAAACUCAAAGG